AGCUUGUAGGCGGUUGGUUGCGUCGAAAGUGCAAACUCAGGGCUUAACUCUGAGCCUGCUUUCGAUACGGGCUGACUGGAGGAAGGUAGGGGGGAAUGGAAUUCCCGGUGGAGCGGUGGAAUGCGCAGAUAUCGGGAGGAACACCAGUGGCGAAGGCGGUUCUCUGGACCUUUCCUGACGCUGAGAAGCGAAAGCGUGGGGAGCAAACAGGCUUAGAUACCCUGGUAGUCCACGCUGUAAACGGUGGGUACUAGGUGUGGGGGACAUUCCACGUUCUCUGUGCCGUAGCUAACGCAUUAAGUACCCCGCCUGGGGAGUACGGCCGCAAGGCUAAAACUCAAAGGAAUUGACGGGGCCCCGCACAAGCGGCGGAGCAUGCGGAUUAAUUCGAUGCAACGCGAAGAACCUUACCUGGGUUUGACAUAUAUCGGAAACGUUCAGAGAUGGGCGCCCCGUAAGGUCGGUAUACAGGUGGUGCAUGGCUGUCGUCAGCUCGUGUCGUGAGAUGUUGGGUUAAGUCCCGCAACGAGCGCAACCCUCGCCCAAUGUUGCCAGCGGGUUAUGCCGGGGACUCAUUGGAGACCGCCGGGGUCAACUCGGAGGAAGGUGGGGAUG
Molecule: ribosomal RNA, 615 nt
Filed under: uncultured bacterium
Lineage: Bacteria
Description: bacterial SSU rRNA
Rfam family: Bacterial small subunit ribosomal RNA
Source: RNAcentral